Molecule: ribosomal RNA, 460 nt
Filed under: uncultured bacterium
Lineage: Bacteria
Description: partial 16S ribosomal RNA
Rfam family: Bacterial small subunit ribosomal RNA
Source: RNAcentral
CCUACGGGUGGCAGCAGUGAGGAAUAUUGGUCAAUGGACGAGAGUCUGAACCAGCCAAGUAGCGUGAAGGAUGACUGCCCUAUGGGUUGUAAACUUCUUUUAUAUGGAAAUAAAAUGUUCCACGUGUGGGAUUUUGUAUGUACCAUAUGAAUAAGGAUCGGCUAACUCCGUGCCAGCAGCCGCGGUAAUACGGAGGAUCCGAGCGUUAUCCGGAUUUAUUGGGUUUAAAGGGAGCGUAGGUGGAUUGUUAAGUCAGUUGUGAAAGUUUGCGGCUCAACCGUAAAAUUGCAGUUGAAACUGGCAGUCUUGAGUACAGUAGAGAUGGGCGGAAUUCGUGGUGUAGCGGUGAAAUGCUUAGAUAUCACGAAGAACUCCGAUUGCGAAGGCAGUUCACUGGACUGCAACUGACACUGAGGCUCGAAAGUGUGGGUAUCAAACAGGAUUAGAUACCCCUGUAGUC